GGAGAGAUGGGUGAGUGGCUGAAACCAACGGUUUGCUAAACCGUCGUACUGCGCAAGCAUUACCGAGGGUUCGAAUCCCUCUCUCUCCG
Molecule: transfer RNA, 89 nt
Filed under: Ignavibacteria bacterium
Lineage: Bacteria; Pseudomonadati; Ignavibacteriota; Ignavibacteria
Also listed under: 1 other name
Description: tRNA-Ser
Rfam family: tRNA
About the family: Transfer RNA (tRNA) molecules are approximately 80 nucleotides in length.
Source: RNAcentral